This 888-nucleotide ribosomal RNA is filed under the name Vibrio parahaemolyticus. Its description in RNAcentral is "partial 23S ribosomal RNA". It matches the Rfam family "Bacterial large subunit ribosomal RNA", at positions 2043 to 2925 of the family's 2925-position model. Lineage: Bacteria; Pseudomonadati; Pseudomonadota; Gammaproteobacteria; Vibrionales; Vibrionaceae. The record is from RNAcentral.
UGAAAUCGCUGUGAAGAUGCAGUGUACCCGCGGCUAGACGGAAAGACCCCGUGAACCUUUACUACAGCUUGGCACUGAACAUUGACCCUACAUGUGUAGGAUAGGUGGGAGGCUUUGAAGCACGUACGCCAGUAUGUGUGGAGCCGUCCUUGAAAUACCACCCUUGUAGUGUUGAUGUUCUAACGUCGACCCCUUAUCGGGGUUGCGGACAGUGCCUGGUGGGUAGUUUGACUGGGGCGGUCUCCUCCCAAAGAGUAACGGAGGAGCACGAAGGUGGGCUAAUCACGGUUGGACAUCGUGAGGUUAGUGCAAUGGCAUAAGCCCGCUUGACUGCGAGAAUGACAAUUCGAGCAGGUGCGAAAGCAGGUCAUAGUGAUCCGGUGGUUCUGAAUGGAAGGGCCAUCGCUCAACGGAUAAAAGGUACUCCGGGGAUAACAGGCUGAUACCGCCCAAGAGUUCAUAUCGACGGCGGUGUUUGGCACCUCGAUGUCGGCUCAUCACAUCCUGGGGCUGAAGUCGGUCCCAAGGGUAUGGCUGUUCGCCAUUUAAAGUGGUACGCGAGCUGGGUUUAGAACGUCGUGAGACAGUUCGGUCCCUAUCUGCCGUGGGCGUUGGAAGAUUGAAGGGGGCUGCUCCUAGUACGAGAGGACCGGAGUGGACGAACCUCUGGUGUUCGGGUUGUGUCGCCAGACGCAUUGCCCGGUAGCUAAGUUCGGAAUCGAUAACCGCUGAAAGCAUCUAAGCGGGAAGCGAGCCCUGAGAUGAGUCUUCCCUGAUACUUUAAGUAUCCUAAAGGGUUGUCGGAGACUACGACGUUGAUAGGUCAGGUGUGUAAGUGCUGUGAGGCAUUGAGCUAACUGAUACUAAUUGCCCGUGAGGCUUAACCAU